AAUAAAUCGCACAACUUCACUCGUCGCGUUCCCGCCAAAAAGUCCUUGAGUCCGUUUCGAUUAAACUUAUAAUUUCGUUACACUCUUUGUUAAUUUAUCUGUUGUUAUAUAAUUAAUCAUCGGAAGAAUAAAAUAAUUACGGAUUAAUGUAAUUAAAUUGUCGAGUUAGCGACCAAAAUAAGUCGUAUUUCUAAGAUAUAUUAACAUAUCAACAAACAUCUUUGUCUUAAUACUUUGCAGUGAAAGAAAACAUGCCGCUAUAAUGGACAUAUUCCAAGAAGCUGGAUGUUUUAAAAUUAGGGCGUUCGCCUCCAUGGCUCAAACGAGUCCGUUCAAGCCAACGCUUCGGUGUGCUUAGUGCGAGUUUUUUAACGUUCUCGUUAGCGCAAAAGUUAACUCAAAUUUGAAUAGGAGGUGGAAGGUUUGCCUGCGUUUGCCGUUAGGGGCGCUGUUUCAACUGCAUACAAGUUUGAGUUAACUUUUGCGCUAACGAGAACGCUAAUUACAGUUAUUAAGAAAUACAUAUUUUAAUCAUGUGUGUUAUUGGUAGGCAUAGUUAUUUACAGAAAGAAUAAAUCUAGUUCUCAUUUACAGAGUGUAGUUUUCAUGUUUGCAAGAAGAUCACAUUUUAACAAUCAAAUAAAUAAACAGGGUUUAAAGUACGUAUUUGCGGCUUGACAUAAGUCGUUCACUCAUAUGCUCGUUUAUCUGCAGUGGUAAUAAAAUUAAACUAGGGAGCACUGCUGUGUCCCGGCAGAAAUAGGCAGGAUGGUAACAUCUGUCUGGUACCGUCGAGACUACGUUAGUGUACCCACGUAUUGGCAGUAUCAUUAAGAAUAGAAAAAGUAUUUUGGUAAAUAAAAGUCCUCCUGCCAAAACACCUACUCCUGAGAAAUAUGUUCUUCAAGAACAGGGUAUAAAAAAUGCAAAUUACAAAAAUUUAAAAUCAUUUAGAAGUCUUCUGACGAUAAUUUUUUUUUAGAAAACAAUUUGUAUGCAUUUAACUGAAAUUAUAUUUUGUGUGUGUGUGUUUUUUUUAUUGCUUAGACUUUAUUGCUUAUUUUAAAGUACUACCUUAGAUACUUAGGUUAGCAAGUUGAGUUUCACGUACACAAAAUAUAUUAUAAUUUGCGUAAUUACUGGUGGUAGGACCUCUUGUGAGUCCGCACGGGUAGGUAAACCCCCCCCCCCCACCCCGCCUAUUUCUGCCGUGAAGCAGUAAUGCGUUUCGGUUUGAAGGGUGGGGCAGCCGUUGUAACUAUACUGAGACCUUAGAACUUAUAUCUCAAGGUGGGUGACGCAUUUACGUUGUUUUUUUUAGUAGGUGAGCUCACGGGGCUAAAACCUGACGACGACGUUGCUAACACGAACCCUAGCAAGAGCCGUGCUUCGCAAAAUCUAACACCGGAUCGGAAACGCGACCCACUGAGAAAAUCCGGCGAGAAACUCAGUGGGAUGUGUCUGUGGGUUAAUUCACUCGUCGAGCCCUUCGUCCAGUCGGGCUCCAGUAACCACUUAACGCCAGGUGGGCCGUGAGCUCGUCCACCCAUCUUAGGAAAAAAACCCCCAAUUGAAUUGCAGUUAAGACUAGUCUGUUAUGUUGACAGGAACGCAUGAUUGCUCCAGUAGAGAAGAUGUAGGUAAGCUGUUAUAGAUCGCAUACAAUUUGUUUAUAAUGUACAAAUAAUAUAUUAUUUUUGUUAUUGUUCUUCUACUUGGUACUGGUACUUGGUAUUAUAUCGUUAUUACAUAACAGUUCUGACAUUACAUCCGCUACAAGCGGCUCAUGCUGUAGGUAGUAUCAUACCUUUAUGAUUAUUAAUUUGAGACACUGAAUAUUUUUAUACAAGAACUGACCUUAGGCAAAAAUGUUUGAAAUAAUUAGAAAUAAAAGUAUACCUCAGGUAAGUCGUAUUAAAGUUGGUAUAAAAAUUAAAAUAUUAUACCUAUUCGAAGGGACCUGUGUAAAUUUUAUUGUUGAAUUUUCGUUUCCAGUAGAUGUAGCUAAAAUAAAAAAAUAAAAUAACCAUAUAUUUGUUGUUUGAAAUAAAUUAGGUAGUAGUUUCAAAAAAAUACUACAUUCGGGUUGAAUUUUUUGUGGUAAGCUCAAACAUAAAAAAAAAACAAAAAAAAUUUCAACCGCCUCUUUAUCUAGUCUCUUGUAGGAGAUUGGCCCAGAAUCCUUACAAGUUGUCGACACCAAACUUUAAAACAUUAGGUUUUGGUGGCUAAAAAUGGCAAGUUAGCUGGAGGAUUGAUAGAACCGAUGAAAGAUUAAAAGUAGCAAUAAUUCGAAAAGGGUGGAUACUUCCGGAUUCCUAUCGUCUUUUAUUUGAAAAAGGUCGUUCGUUCUAGAAACAUUCAUGCUAGAAAAGAACCCGAAACCCGAAAACCAAAGACAAUAAUAAUUGGAAGUGAACUCUGUGGUAUUGUGGUACUAUACCAACAUACAAAUAAUUAUUACAUUGGUUUAAUUUAAACGCAGUUUGGAUACAGUCUUAAAGUGUUGAUGGUUAAGAAUAUUUUAUGCUCCUGGUUAAGAUAUUUUUAAGUAAAAAUAAGUCUGAGUUGUAAAGUAUGUUAGAGAGUAACCGACAUGAGCACCGUCCACGGUAAUAAUAAUUGAGUUGUUUUGAGAGACCAUUUCAACGUAACCUUAACUAGUAGGUGAGCUCACGGAAAUCAAACCUGACUGUGUUGCUAACACGAACCCUAGCAAGAGCCGUGCUUCGCAGAAUCUGCCACCGGAUCGGAAACGCGACCCACUGAGAUGAUCCGGCGAGAAACUCAGUGGGCUGUGUCUGUGGGUUAAUUUAUUCUUUUUUUUUAUUGCUUAGGUGGGUGGACGAGCUCACAGUCCACCUGGUGUUUAAGUGGUUGCUGGAGCCCACAGACAUCUACAACGUAAAUGCGCCACCCACCUUGAGACAUAAGUUCUAAGGUCUCAGGUAUAGUUACAACGCCUACCCCAGCCUUCAAACCGAAACGCAUUACUGCUUCACGGCAGAAAUAAGCAGGGUGGUGGUACCUACCCGCGCGGACUCUCAAGAGGUCCUACCACCAGUAACAAACUCGCCGAGCCCUUCGUCGCAAGCUUUGAUCAACAAUAGUAACUUACUAUUGUUGAUCAAAGUUCGCAAGCGACGGGUUCGACGAGAACGAUGACCGGUGCGAUUGCUAUGCCCCAAAUGCUUGGCUUAAUAUUGUGAUAAAGUUUCACGGAUGGAGAACAAAUCGUAAACGGGAGCUAUUACAAUUCACAUAAUGAUUUGAGUCGGUGAGUCGGUGACUGCCCGUUUGGGAUGCUAUUUAUAAAUAGAUGUUUAAUAAAACACCGAAGCACAGAUUUAUGCACAAAUGUAGCAUAUUUCGGGCGUGUUUACAACCACACAGCUCGGCGUUCUACAUUACAAAAAUAUACGUCUUCAAACACCAACUAAAAAAAAUUGGCUGAUGAAAUUCAGUCUACACGCCGCUCCUCUGACGGAUGUUUGUAUAUGGAUUAAAAGAAAUAUGUACCUACAUCGUGUUACAUUAAUUCUACGUGUGAACUGUAUCGCUAAAAUGCUCCAGAUUCUCAAAAUUUUAUUCCGUUUCUAGAAGCUUUAUAGUGCGCGUUGAAACGUGCUAGUUGUGUUUAUUUUUCUUUUUAUUUCGCCUCUGGAAACGCGAAUUUCGUUUACGGUUUUUUAUCUUUCAUCAUACGCACACAUUUAUGUCGAUUAAGUGUUUGUACAACAUAGUAUCUAUGUGUUAUUAACGUUUAAUCGUGAUGUAUGUGGGUUUUCAUAGGUUUUUUUUUUUAAUUUUAAAUAUCGGACAUAUUAUGUUAGCAUGUUUUAAAGAUUCUAAAAGAUAUCUCAUCAAUAGUUACUUAUUUAAAUUAGACUGAAAAUCGUCAAUAAACACUGGAUAUGACUAAUCUGACGGAACACUGAAGCUUUUAUCGCCGCAUCACGGAAUGGUUCCGAAUAAUUUUAAAAUGUCUUUGAAGUUUUGAUAUGCGUAGAUUAUCGCCAUAGGUACGUACAAAAGCAGGUUUACUACCGCCUGUCUACAAUUUAAUGCGAGCAUGAUAUAUUUUUGUAAUGUAGUCCAUGUGUUAAAAUCAUCCACCGAAACGGCUGGCCGAACUUUAAGCGUUAGGAAUUUGAAGUGACGUGGAAAUAACCUAGUGUUCUAGGAAUAAUUACGUCUGAGACUCGUAAAUUAGACCGUUAAGAUGACAUAAUUAUGAUAAGCUACUUGUGGUCGAAAUUCGAAAACAAGCAUUUUUUUUAAUUUAUAAUUAUUAUAGUUAUAUAAUCAAUAGUUAAUUAAAACGUGUUUUUAGUUUAAUGCACGCGUAUGUCUAAACGGCUUUUUAAAAUAUACCGGAUAUGGGUGAAUCACUAAAACAGACAAACCCGUGGCUCUUUUUGGAAAAAAAAGAUGGAGCAAUCGAUCGAAUCUGUUUUAACACAAGUGCAGAUAAAAACUUUGAUGCGGGGGGAAUUGGUCAAACUAUUUGCCGAACAUUACCGAAACAAAUUUUCAUCUGUUUUCUUUUCACCAACAAUGUAUAAUAUUAUAUUAUACCUACAUUUUAUUAGACCAAUAAGUAUUAUAAAUCAAAGACAAAAAUUUGUUUACUUUUUAAUUUUAGUAAUUUCCAAGCUGUUUAGUUUGUUCACAUGAUCCUACAGCUACGGUAUUACAGAGUCAAUAAUUUAAUAAUUUUUUUUUGUAGAAAGUGAUGCUUCCAGUUUGCUUUCGGUUGGUCCGAAUGACUCUUUAAUCGUUGAUUUGACGUUUGUGCAAGACUUCUGUUCGCGCUCGUUGUUUGGAAUUAUGUUAGGAGCCUUAAAUAUUAAGUGUAUUGUCUAUGGUAGGAGCGGUUUGGCUGUCACGGAUGUUGCCAAAAUCCAUGAGGGGCGGUAGCUACUCAGAAGAUCAAGUGGGCGUUGGAUAGUCUUGCUUCGAUGGCAAUAGCAGUGCACAUAAUUUUAAAGACUCCCGAUAUUUACUCAACCACGAGUUUAUAUUAAUUGUCAUAGAAAUCGUGUACGGGUAGGUUAUAUACUGGUUUUGUGUGUCUUUACGGUUUGAUUAUACCGUUUUGUCGAUCUGCGCUGCUAAGAAGUAAUGCGUUUCGCUUUGUAGGGUAGGGGAUCCGUUAUUUUAGCGCAUUCGGCUUUUCCACCUAUCUCUCAAUGUUGGGAUUGGUAUGCGUGGUUCUCUUAGGUAGAGCCCCGUAGGUGAGCACCUACCAGUCCGAGCGUACUUGGAAUGGCUCCUUAAGCUAUCAACGAUUAGGCACGAGGGAAAAAACGUGUUAGUAUGGACUCGGUGAACCAAAAAUGCCGGCUUGACGUGGAUUUGACUGUACUAAUAAAAACGGGAUUAAGUAUUUAUUUUAUAGAACUGUAUGUAGUCCUAAUAUUUAUUGGUAGUACUAUUAAGUAAAAUACUAAUCGGGACGCAAAAAUUUUAAUUAAUAAAGGCACCUUUUUAAAUGCUCGUUUUCCCAAUGAAUGACCCAAGCAACAAAAUAAUCGUGAGCUAUAAACAUUUUUACACUCAGCGGAAUCAUGCGGUGGUAAAAUUUUACGGCUCGGAUAUUCAUCAAGACUGCUGUAACGAAUAAAAAUAACCUGUCACUAGUUUCAGCUCGACAUUAAUGAAAUUUAUGAGAAAAUUAUACAUAUUUCUCAUCCGAUAAAUCAAGCAGCAGAUUCAUUUAAAAAUCAAAUCGAAAAUAACCUUCGUGUAUGGCCAAUAAAUCAGUACUCCGUUACGUAAAUAAGAUGAAUUGUGGCUCUUCUAUUUGUCAAGAUAUACAAAACGUUUUUGUAAUUACGUGCAAACUAUAGGCUUAAAGCAGCCACUGGUAUCGGGAAUAGAAAAGAAGUUGAAGUGAUUAUUAGUUAGAACACUGAAUAACAUGCAUAAGUACUUACAAAGUUUUUAGAACAAUUCACAAAUUAUCCUCUUGGCCGCAAAACGCUACCCCUGCGUAUACGCACGUCACAGCGCCGCCCAACUCCACCCUGUUAUAUUUUUAAUUUAAAUUCUCGACUCGCGUAUCGAAUCAUAAAAAUAUAAAUAUUUUAGGAUCAACCGAGCGAACAGCACGGAGCGCGCCCCGCCUGCCCAUUGACGCAUUCGUUUCGAACUAAUUUCGGUGCAGCGACUAUUCCGCGAUUCUGUAAACACAGGCGGCGGUGGUAAAACACGACCAGGGAACAGCGACCCCUCUGGAUCUUAUGAAAAAUGAAGCCCUCGUCGCGGAUUCCUCUUCACAACGGGAGGCGUGAUGGGUCAGCGUAGAUCGGAAUCUCCACCAGCACCACAAAAAUGAAAAUGCAACGAUAACUACUGCUGCGACCAAUGUCUUAAGGAAAUGUUGAUACGGCAGUCGACGAAUUUAGGCCGAACCGACGCAGGAGACACGAAAACUUACCAAAUUAAAAUUCAUAACAAAAGGUUUUGUUUUUAAACUGAACACGUGCAGAAUGGCACACAUCCUAAAACGGGACUCAACGUUGCAGCCACGUGCCAGAUUAUUACCGAUUUAGAUAAUAGGUGUUUAGUUUGAUUUGCUAAGCGAGAAAAGCUUUAAACAGGCGAGAACAUUCUUCCGUAGGGUAAACAAACGUUUAGUAACUCUAAAAAAGCGUUGCCUCUUAAUGCCAUUUUGAAUAUCACUACAUUGAUGCAUAUUUUACCAUCGCGUGACGAUCCUAUGAAUAAUACCGAAUAAGAUGUCCGCUCACGGUGUAUCUUUUUUUUUUCUGAUACAUAGUGUUAUGAUUACAGAAGCCUGCAGAUAUCAUAACGUGAAAUCGUCACAGCGCAUCUAUAAAGGUCUCAAAUUAGAACCUGGGACCUGGGACGAAAUCAAAGCAAAAAUAGGCAAAUGGUGCCUAUCAGUGCAGGCCUAUAAUACUUUCCCACUUUUUUUUUCCAUUUAUCAAUCUUUUUUGAGUUUGUUUUUAUUGACGCACGUAAAAAUAAGCGCCCAAUGAAGUGACGUCAUCACAUAUCUUCGCACUUAGUCCACUAAAAGCAACGGUUGGGUGUCGGUUCUUACCACAGAUUAUACACAAUGUAACAAGUUACAUCUAAAAUUAUCGGCUUAAGCUUGGAUAUAAAUAAUUACCAUAUUUCUAAAUUAUUAUAAAUUGGAUUUUGAUGUAUUUUAGGGUAAGAGACGAAACUUAAGUUAUAGAAUGAAUAAUCGAUAAUAUCAAGAAUUGCAGACAAAAAAAACGAUGUACAUAUCACAACCUACACAUAAGCCAAAUUUUAAGAAAAAUGUUAUCCGAAUGACGUCACACGAGAAAAUGACACGCGAGCGAGAAAUGAAUUACUGUAGGUACAGUAUCGUAACUAUUCCGGGCAUUUCAAUGAUAAAAAGGUGCUCCUUGAUAUCACGACUUCAUCGUUACAACUUUGUAAAUGAUUUUGCGAACCCACUAUUAUUCCCAUACGAUAUUUUCCUUGGUCGAAAUAAAACAGCAGAUUUACGAAUUUAAAACUUUAUUCUUCUAUGUCUACGUUUCAUUGUAUGUCAAAUAACUCGUCUGAGCGCCUCGCAGGCCUCGGUCAUCUUCAGACCCUCCAUAGUGUAGAGGAGGUUCUCGACCGACGCGUCUUCGUCGUCGUCGAACCAGAGCUGAAGCAUGUUCUUGGCUCGCGUGACGUCCGUUGCGUUUUCCGUCUCGAAGUACUGGAUCUCGUCCGGCUUGUAGCCGAGCUUCACGGCCAGCGUCUUCCAGUCCGAGAGCUGGGCCGAUACCGCGUCCAGCUGGGCGGGCGUGAUCAUCGUGACGCGGGACCUGGACGACUUCUCGUAGUCGUCGUCGCCGACGUGAGUAGAGUCGGGCACCUGGAGAACACAUACGUCGGUAAGAGUAAAGCCAUCUAUCGCCGAAUAGUCGAACGAAUAUCAAAGGAUCUAGUAGCACCUAGAACGAUCGAGGAGUACGACGCCAUCAAUUUUUUUUUAUUUUUUUUAUUAAGAAGACAAACAGUGAACUUAAACUAUAUAAACUCUAACCUUACAACUAAACACCAUUUAAAUGUCUCCGCAUUUAAAUAACUACAAACGAUUGGGGCGUCGCAUCGCCUAGAACUAAAUAAUUAAAGUAAAACGUAAAACAAAAACAAAAAUAAAACAGUUUGAGAAAAAAAAAACAGAAAAACGUAGUAAAUAGAAAAUAAUUAAUUAAAUAUUUGCAUUCAACCAUCGACUGACUAAUGUUCUCCUAAUACUCUUAGUAGAAGUGUUGAAAAUGUCCAGUUCAGGGAAGUCAGCUAGAGCAUUGAAACUGUUAGCAGCUCUUAUAAAGAAUGCAUUACGUCUGUAAUUGUUGUAAAUCUAUUGUCAGAUAACGGAAACACAAUACUAGAGAUGUGUGGAAUAUUCUCGAUAAUUCUAGGGAUGAGGUAUCGACUAUAAAAACGUCGCAGGGAAGGCAGGCAGUCAGUCUGUAAUCGGAACUACUCAAGCGAAACAGCGGACGCAUCACCUGAAGCGAAGCGGAAGAAGAGAAUUGAGAAUUUUAAAAGUGUAGUGAAUUGUUCUAAGUGUUGAAUAAAGUGUUAACUUGUAA
Long non-coding RNA from Bombyx mori (domestic silkworm), 8597 nucleotides. RefSeq lists it as uncharacterized. The record is from RefSeq and is a predicted model, not a curated record. The transcript is spliced from 3 exons. Lineage: Eukaryota; Metazoa; Arthropoda; Insecta; Lepidoptera; Bombycidae.